GCCAGGCAGCGCGGCGAGGAGGCUGCCUUGCGGCUCCGGCCCGUGCCCGGGGUCCAGCUCACCCAGGAGAGCAGCCCCUCCCGUGGGCAACAAGUGUAGGGGUGGGCCAGGAGAAGGGAGGUGCUGGGGCGGGGGAGGACACCAGGCCGGCCUGGAAAAUCAGGUGAGAGAGAACCGGGCGGGUCAAGCGUGAGACUUGCAAAGAAAAGCGGGAGCAGAAAGGAAAUACCGGCGAAGGAGUGGAGGAACCAGAGCGGCAGGCUUGGGUAGACCUUGCAGCUCCACAGCAUGGAUGAGACCAAGGGCACCUUGGCCCUUCACCUGGCCAAGGGCAGGGUGAAGUCAGAAGAGGGGUUUGCAUGCACUGCUCGGGAGAUCACAUCCUCCAGCCCCAAAAUGAGUCUGGCUGGAAUAUGCAAGCAUGGCUGGCCCUGGGAGACUUGGCCAGGUGACCCCAGAAGCUUCCAGCCGAGACUUGGCCUGGCAGCCCAGAAUCUAUAAAAGGCACAGCCAGGAGCUGCCAGAGGGAUUUAUCUUGCUGCGGACACUGAGCUGAAGCUGCAGGAUGCCGCCUGCUCCAAGAAUCUGCACUCUCCAAGGACCUUUUGGGUGGCCAGUCAGUCCCCAGGACUUAGUGAUUGUGUGUUUGCGUGUGUCUCCGAGUGUUUUUCCUCCUAAACCCUGCACAUUUCUCCCCUCUACUUUCACCAGCUAUUCUUGUGAAAAAUAAAUUGAACAUAGCUUUUACUUGACUAGUUGCUCCUUUGAGUAACAAUUAAAAUAAAACAAUGUUUACUCAGAUAAAUGAACCUUCAGAAGGGUAAAAUCAGUCCAGUUCUUGCAGUUCUAUAUGGGUGAUUCCUAGGGAUCUUUUCUAAGUGUUUUGACAAAAGUGGCACUUAGAUACAAGAAGUAUUUGCAUGUGAAACAGAGAUGUGAGGUAUGUGAUAUCAGUAGCUCUGAUACUUGCCAAAUAUGAAUAGGGCAAAAUUUUAAGUAGACUUUGCUCAUUAUAUAUAAUACCUAGAUCCUGCAUGGAUCACCACCCUGGCUAACACCCAUAGGUCUUCAAAGCCUCAAGUAUGUGCUCUCUAGCUUAGAUGCACAGCAGACUGCUGUCCUUUGCACAUCUGGGCUGUAAGAACCUCACACUAAUGAGUCACACAGAUCAUUUCAUUUCUAACAGGUGAGCAAAGUCAAUUUGCCUACGGCAUUUGCAGUUGAGCUAAAUAUGUUUGCAAGUAUUUUCAGGCUUCCAGAGUCUGGUCUGCCCAGCUAAGCUUGUCAUUGUAGAAAGACAGUGGUAUAUAAAUUUGCAUAUAUCCAAAGGACAACCUUAUACCUUCAUUUGGGACCUUUUGAGUGUCAUAUGUUAAAUGCUACCUAGGGAACCUCCAUUUGUUGUGUCUGCUGUGGAGUGGACAACUUGGGUGAACUUGACCUCCAAGUCAUUCAGUUUUUGUUAGUUUACCAGUGAGUACAGAAGCCCUGACAGCAAGCAGUCCAUCACAAAGAUCUCUGACCAGCAGUCAGAAGAAGCAAUCAAAGAUGGGUAUGCUUUGAGGACCUGGAAUGGUUAAAGCAGAGAGGUUAAAGCAGCAACAUGAACCUGACUUUCUUGCAGACAGUUUCCACCACUUGGGCAUUGGCAGCUUGAACCUGCUCUUCCCAGGAAGGGUUAAUCAAAUCUAAAUUCUGGGAAAUAAUAAAAAAGCCAAACCAACCCAAACUUCCAAAUCUACUGCAUUAUUAGCUAGAUUACUGCACUAAGCCAUAAAUCCAAGACCUUUCAAUCUAAAAAUUCCUCAUUUCUUUUCACAUUUUUGACUUGCCAUGGAUUUUUCUCAACCUUUGGUAAGUGGGUGGGUCACCAGGGAUUACAUAGAUCACAGUGCUCCUGAAGAAUGUGCACAUGAUUACAUGGAAGCUUAGAGAAGCACAAAGGUAAUUGAUUCUCAACCCCAGUCAACCUGAGACUGAGAAACUAUGCUUUCUGCUGCCACCCAAGAACCUAAGAGAACUGAGGGACCAGUGUGGAAGCAAGAUGCCAUCCAUACCUGUUUUAAUUGCCUAGGCUAUUGGUCUGGAGGCUGAUACAGCUGCUCAUUUUAUCACAGAGAAAGUUUCAAUAGAUGUAAGCUGUUGGAAGAUACUGCCAGCUAUCUUCUUUUUUUUCUUUUUUUUUUUUUUUUAUAAGAGUAGUACUGGAAGUGGGAUACUCCCUACUAAUGAGCAAUGACUUUCCUUCCUCUAAGAUGUCAUCAAGCCAGGUAGGUUUCACCUGAUGGUGGGAAGGACAUUUCUUAAACCACAACAUUCUGGUAAUGUUUCUUCCACAGACUUCUUUGAUGCACACAUAUAAAUUUAGUAUCUGAGUAGCAGAACAGGCAAUAUGUUGAAGUGAUCAGUCUGCCCCAAGAUCUCGUAAGUGGUAUGAGAACAAAUCUACUGCCCUUCUUACUUUUUGCAGUUCAUAGUAUUUGAUGGGUUUCACACUCCCCCUGUGGUGUUAAUUAGUGAGUCACUCCAAACCUUGCUGAAGCUAACGCUCCCAGUGCUGGCUGGGAGAGCCAAGGGAGGUUGGCAGGAGUGGCAGGUUGAGGCCAAGAUUUUAAUGCCACUCUUGGUGUAAGCCUUGCCUUCUGAAAGUUUCCAAGAGUGCUUAUAUGUCCUCAGACACUGAAGGCAAUUGGGUAGGACAGGAAACCUGCAGGACACCAGGCCUGCUAACCCCACAGUCCACAGAAAUCCUUGCCAGUACUGACAGGAGCAAUGGGAUGUUCCAGCUGCCCAGGUUCAACUUCUCGAUCUCGCACCCAGGUGCCAGGGUUCACCUCUGAGCUCUCUGUGGGACUAUGGCUACAGCUCCAUGUUAUGCUGGGGCUCAUCUCACUAUGCCAGUUUUACAGUGGUAAGAAGUGACGGGAUAGCAAAGAAGCACAGAGAGAAUAUUCACCUGGCAAGAUGGUGAAAAAAAACCCCUGAGUAAAGGGAAAUGUGUUGGAAAGUUUUGUGUUUAUUGCUUAGCAUCCUCUUAUUGUAUUUGUUAUUUGUGCUGGAAUUUUAUUUCUGAUACUGUGUCUGGAACACCUGGAGCUCUUCACAGGUGAAGGAGAAAGGAAUAUUCUAGGGAAACAUGGUAAGAGUUAUAAGCUUCUUUCUGUUGAUGGUAUUAUUAAUGAUCUCCUGUAUAAAUUUCAACAAAUAAAUGAUUGGUGAGGGUA
This is a long non-coding RNA of Aquila chrysaetos chrysaetos, 3224 nucleotides long. RefSeq lists it as uncharacterized. The transcript is spliced from 2 exons. Lineage: Eukaryota; Metazoa; Chordata; Aves; Accipitriformes; Accipitridae. The record is from RefSeq and is a predicted model, not a curated record.